This 301-nucleotide ribosomal RNA is filed under the name uncultured bacterium. RNAcentral's name for it is "partial 16S ribosomal RNA". It matches the Rfam family "Bacterial small subunit ribosomal RNA", at positions 509 to 808 of the family's 1533-position model. The record is from RNAcentral.
CAGUCGCCACGGUAACACGUAGGUGGCAAGCGUUGUCCGGAAUUAUUGGGCGUAAAGGGCUCGCAGGCGGUUUCUUAAGUCUGAUGUGAAAGCCCCGGCUCAACCGGGGAGGGUCAUUGGAAACUGGGAGACUUGAGUGCAGAAGAGGAGAGUGGAAUUCCACGUGUAGCGGUGAAAUGCGUAGAGAUGUGGAGGAACACCAGUGGCGAAGGCGACUCUCUGGUCUGUAACUGACGCUGAGGAGCGAAAGCGUGGGGAGCGAACAGGAUUAGAGACCCCUGUAGUCCCUGUCUCUUAUACA